UACGGGGGGGGCAAGCGUUGUUCGGAAUUACUGGGCGUAAAGGGCUCGUAGGUGGCCAACUAAGUCAGACGUGAAAUCCCUCGGCUUAACCGGGGAACUGCGUCUGAUACUGGAUGGCUUGAGUUUGGGAGAGGGGUGCGGAAUUCCAGGUGUAGCGGUGAAAUGCGUAGAUAUCUGGAGGAACACCGGUGGCGAAGGCGGCAUCCUGGACCAACACUGACACUGAGGAGCGAAAGCCAGGGGAGCAAACAGG
Molecule: ribosomal RNA, 253 nt
Filed under: uncultured bacterium
Lineage: Bacteria
Description: partial 16S ribosomal RNA
Rfam family: Bacterial small subunit ribosomal RNA
Source: RNAcentral